Molecule: ribosomal RNA, 301 nt
Filed under: uncultured bacterium
Lineage: Bacteria
Description: partial 16S ribosomal RNA
Rfam family: Bacterial small subunit ribosomal RNA
Source: RNAcentral
CAGUAGCCGCGGUAAUACGGAGGGGGCUAGCGUUACUCGGAAUUACUGGGCGUAAAGGGUGCGUAGGCGGGUUUUUAAGUCGGAGGUGAAAUCCUGGAGCUUAACUCCAGAACUGCCUUUGAUACUGAAAGGCUUGAGUAUGGGAGAGGUUAGUGGAACUGCGAGUGUAGCGGUGAAAUGCGUAGAUAUUCGUAAGAAUACCAGUGGCGAAGGCGGCUCACUGGCCCAUAACUGACGCUGAGGCACGAAAGCGUGGGGAGCAAACAGGAUUAGAUACCCGCGUAGUCCCUGUCUCUUAUAC